GGAGGAGGGAGGAGAGCUGAAGAUCCCUGCCUGGGCUGCCUGAGCUAAGCAGUCAAAGUGGGAAGCUGAGUGCUUGAAAGAGGAUUAUGCUCGCACUAGAAAUAAGCAAUCUGUGGUUCUCUGGUCAGCAAGUUCUGGCAAGGAAGCCACUGCCACUGGCACAAAGAAUUCUGGGAUGUCUGACAGUGAAAUGGAUGGAAGGACCCACAUUCCAUCUCUACUUAAUGUCCUUUUGUCCAGAAACCGGGUCAUGCAAAUGAGCUACUUGUAAAGAACAAGGAUAUGGAAAACUAAGCAGUGAUGAAGACCUCGAAAUAAUUGUUGAUCAAAAGCAGCUGGUGAAUGAGCAACAAGAAAGCAGACCCCUCCUGAGUCCCUCCAUCGAUGACUUUCUCUGUGAAACCAAAUCGGAAGCAAUAGCAAGGCCAGUAACAUCCAAUACAGCUGUAUUGACCACUGGCUUAGAUCUCCUCGACCUGAGUGAACCAGUCUCUCAAACCCAAACCAAAGCCAAGAAGUCAGAGCCUUCAUCAAAAACCUCAUCCCUCAAGAAAAAGGCCGAUGGAUCUGACCUCAUCAGCACGGAUGCUGAGCAGAGAGGCCAG
Molecule: small RNA, 605 nt
Filed under: Pongo abelii (Sumatran orangutan)
Lineage: Eukaryota; Metazoa; Chordata; Mammalia; Primates; Hominidae
Description: processed transcript
Source: RNAcentral